UGCAGGCAAGCGCGAGGAUAACCCUAGGCCAUGUGCAUUCAUGGCAGCCCGAAUGGGUGGGAUCCUAGGUCUCGGGGCCUGCUCUUUC
RNAcentral lists this non-coding RNA (88 nucleotides) under unclassified sequences. RNAcentral's name for it is "DUF3800-VII RNA". It matches the Rfam family "DUF3800-VII RNA". The record is from Rfam by way of RNAcentral.